RNAcentral lists this ribosomal RNA (468 nucleotides) under uncultured bacterium. Its description in RNAcentral is "partial 16S ribosomal RNA". It matches the Rfam family "Bacterial small subunit ribosomal RNA", at positions 28 to 507 of the family's 1533-position model. The record is from RNAcentral.
GACGAACGCUGGCGGCGUGCUUAACACAUGCAAGUCGAACGGUAAGGCCUUGCGCUUGUAGGGUGCUCGAGUGGCGAACGGGUGAGUAACACGUGAGUAACCUGUCCCUGACUUUGGGAUAACUUCAGGAAACAGGGGCGAAUACCGGAUAGGAGCUCCUGCUGCGUGGGGGGGGUAGGAGAGAUUCGGCGGUUGGGGAUGGACUCGCGGCUCUUCAGCUUGUUGGUGGGGUAGUGGCUUAACAGGGCUUUGACGGGUAGCCGGCCUGGGAGGGUGACCGGCCACAUUGGGCCUGGGGUGCGGCCCAGACUCCUACGGGAGGCAGCAGUGGAGGAUAUUGCACGAUGGGCGGAGGCCUGAUGCAGCAACGCCGCGUGCUGGAUGACGGCCUUCGGGUUGUAACCCGCUUUCGCCUGUGACGAAGCGUGAGUGACGGUAAUGGGUAAGGAAGCACCGGCUAACUACGUG